Molecule: ribosomal RNA, 388 nt
Filed under: uncultured bacterium
Lineage: Bacteria
Description: bacterial SSU rRNA
Rfam family: Bacterial small subunit ribosomal RNA
Source: RNAcentral
GACGAACGCUGGCGGCGUGCCUAACACAUGCAAGUCGAGCGGUAAGGCCCUUUCGGGGGUACACGAGCGGCGAACGGGUGAGUAACACGUGGGUGACCUGCCCUCAGCUCUGGGAUAAGCCUGGGAAACUGGGUCUAAUACUGGAUAUGACUCCACGGUGCAUGUCGUGGGGUGGAAAGCCUUGUGCGGCUGAGGAUGGGCCCGCGGCCUAUCAGCUUGUUGGUGGGGUGANGGCCUACCAAGGCGACGACGGGUAGCCGGCCUGAGAGGGCGACCGGCCACACUGGGACUGAGACACGGCCCAGACUCCUACGGGAGGCAGCAGUGGGGAAUCUUGCGCAAUGGGCGAAAGCCUGACGCAGCGACGCCGCGUGAGGGAUGACGGCCU